Molecule: transfer RNA, 65 nt
Filed under: Neocapritermes utiariti
Lineage: Eukaryota; Metazoa; Arthropoda; Insecta; Blattodea; Termitidae
Description: tRNA-Gly
Source: RNAcentral
ACCUAUCUAAUACAAGAAAGUAUACUUGACUUCCAAUCAAGAAAUUUGUGAAAACAAGAUGAGUA